Oscillibacter sp. CAG:155 is the source of this 115-nucleotide regulatory RNA element. It matches the Rfam family "FMN riboswitch aptamer (RFN element)". Rfam says of the family: The RFN element is a highly conserved domain that is found frequently in the 5'-untranslated regions of prokaryotic mRNAs that encode for flavin mononucleotide (FMN) biosynthesis and transport proteins. This element is a metabolite-dependent riboswitch that directly binds FMN in the absence of proteins. The record is from Rfam. Lineage: Bacteria; Bacillati; Bacillota; Clostridia; Eubacteriales; Oscillospiraceae.
CAGGAUCUUCAGGGCGGGGUGCAAUUCCCCACCGGUGGUAUAGCCCACGAGCCGCAAGGCAUGAUUCGGUGAAAUUCCGAGGCCGACAGUACAGUCUGGAUGAAAGAAGAUCAUG